This 308-nucleotide long non-coding RNA is filed under the name Lathyrus oleraceus (garden pea). RNAcentral's name for it is "Pisum sativum (pea) long non-coding RNA (PSAT_LNC022570)". The record is from RNAcentral. Lineage: Eukaryota; Viridiplantae; Streptophyta; Magnoliopsida; Fabales; Fabaceae.
UGUUAAGCAAUCGUAAAGUGAUUUAUGUAGAAAUCACCCUAUCUGAGGUUUGUUAAUAAAUUAUAUGGGUUUAAGGAAUUUCUGAAGUUAAAUUGAAUUUUUAACUCCGAAAUUGCAAUGCAUAUGUGAAAACCGGUGAUUUUAAACGAGAGUUUUAAAGGUAAAAGGAAAUGAUAUUUAAACUACUAUAUUUAGUGUUAUGUUAAGCAAUUUUAAAAUGAUUCACGUAGGAAUCACCCUAUCUCAUGCCAGCCAAUAAACUCUAUGCGUUUAAGUAAUUUCUGAAGUUAAAUUGAAUUUUUAACUCC